AGCAGCCGCGGUAAUUCCAGCUCCAAUAGCGUAUAUUAAAGUUGUUGCAGUUAAAAAGCUCGUAGUUGAAUUUCGGGAUCAGUAGGUCGGUCAUGCCUCUGGUAUGUACUGGUCUCACUGGUUCCUCCUUCCUGAUGAACCGUAAUGCCAUUAAUUUGGUGUUGCGGGGAAACUGGACUGUUACUUUGAAAAAAUUAGAGUGUUUAAAGCAGGCUAACGCUUGAAUACAUUAGCAUGGAAUAAUGAAAUAGGACGAUCGAUCCUAUUUUGUUGGUUUCUAGGAUUGACGUAAUGAUUAAUAGGGAUAGUUGGGGGCAUUAGUAUUCAAUUGUCAGAGGUGAAAUUCUUGGAUUUAUUGAAGACUAACUACUGCGAAAGCAUUUGCCAAGGAUGUUUUCAUUAAUCAAGAACGAAAGUUAGGGGAUCGAAGACGAUCAGAUACCGUCGUAGUCUUAACCAUAAACUAUGCCGACUAGGGAUCGGAUGAUGUAAUUUUAUAAUGACUCAUUC
Molecule: ribosomal RNA, 510 nt
Filed under: uncultured Glomus
Lineage: Eukaryota; Fungi; Glomeromycota; Glomeromycetes; Glomerales; Glomeraceae
Description: SSU rRNA
Rfam family: Eukaryotic small subunit ribosomal RNA
Source: RNAcentral